This 1195-nucleotide long non-coding RNA is filed under the name Homo sapiens (human). RNAcentral describes it as "HSALNT0388557". Lineage: Eukaryota; Metazoa; Chordata; Mammalia; Primates; Hominidae. The record is from RNAcentral.
UUGGUGGCCAUGUGGAGGAGCUGGGAGAGUGGCACCCCUGGAGAGGGUGUGGAAGCUCCGUUGCCUCCACCGUCUUUUCCGCCUGCUGUUCCUGAGUUGUAUCCUUUUAUUAUAAAUCUGCAACCUAGUAGUAAACUGUUUUCCUGAGCUCCAUGAACUGCUCUAGCAAAUCACCAAAUCUGAACAGGGGCUCAGGGGAACCUCUGAUUUAUAACUAGUGGUUCAGAACCACAGGUGGCAACCUGGACUUGUGACUGGCGUCUGAAGGCAGUGGGCAUAGUGUUGUGGGACUGCCUGAGCCCUUAACUUGUGGAAUCUGAUGCUAACCUCAGGUAAAAAGUGUCAGAAUUGAAUCAAAUUAGAGGACACCCAGUCAGCAAAUGUUGAGAACUGGAUAAUUGAUGGGUGUGUGUGUGUGGGGGAAAUAAUCCCACACAUUUGGUGUCAGAAAUGUGUGAGUAUAGGAGGAAAAAGUUACUUUUCUUUCUUUUUAGGAAGGGGAAAGAGGAGGGUAGAAAAGAAUAAGGAAGAAGAAAAUACAGUGGAGAUUCCUGGCUAAAACUGGUUGGCUCAUGUUUACUCAGCUUCAUGGGUUUAGAUUCAGUUAAGGCUGACAUUGGUUUCAGAAGGACGUAUAGUUGAACCAGUUCUUGAUAAGCCUGAAUCUUUAUGUGCUGCAUGUCUGUAAGCUGCCCUCUCAAAGACCUGCUCUCCUCACGUGCUGCAGAAAGAAAAUGACGUGGACAGAGACAGAAAUGUCACAAUCUACGCUCAGCUGGUCUGGAUUAUCCAACUUCUGAGGUGUAUCUGCCGGCUGUCCCUGUAUCCCAUUAUAAAUCAUCUCCUUGUUGAACAUCAGGCCAGACUGGGGUCUGAUUCAUUGGCUGUAUGUGGCUACCUGGCUCCAGGAGGAGCCUCUGUCUCAGUCCUGUAAUAGUCAUCAUGCUUUAAGAAACCUUCACAUUUCUGAACAGUUACAUAGUGUCCUCAGCUGAAGAAAGAGGAAGUCUGGAGUCCAUUUCCGGCAGUUAGCAGGGAGCUGUUUUCCUCUCUCUGACAUUAGCAAGAUCGUCAAGGACACUUGUGACAGAAACGUUUUCAACACCAUGGCAUGUUCCUGAAGAAUCAAAGUUGGCCAGAGAGACUAAACAAGGAUAACGCAGACCCUUUUAUGACGCUGUUUUUCUAUUUUUAA